This is a long non-coding RNA of Ornithodoros turicata, 353 nucleotides long. RefSeq lists it as uncharacterized. Lineage: Eukaryota; Metazoa; Arthropoda; Arachnida; Ixodida; Argasidae. The transcript is spliced from 4 exons. The record is from RefSeq and is a predicted model, not a curated record.
CGACUACACGACGUGUUCCAAGAACGUUGAGCUGAACGGCACGUCUGGAAAGAAACGGCAACCACUUUGGAGGUGCAACGUGCAGGAGGCAUUCAGUUGGAACCCCGCUUCUCCCUUAUGAUGACGAAUACGGUGCCGAUGUCCGGACACGACCUCAGCAUCUUCUCCAAGAGGACCUACAGAACGAACACAUGACGAUCCGGACCGUUCUGAACGAGGGUGCUCAUGGACGUGUUCGAACACCACGAUUCUACUUCGGCUACACAAUGAAAGGACGAAGUUAUGUAAAGUCACUUCCUGUGGGUACAGCAAGGAGAACGUUACUGGUCGAGCAUCUGACUAGUGCAAUUUCG